UCGCUAAAGGCCCCUAUAGUGACAGAACCGUCGCUAUAGGUGUUCUUGAGCCUACCCAGAUCUUCAUAAGGCAGAACCGAGUGGGCUACUUUGACCGUGAAUAACUCUCUCAUCUUAACGAGUUUGGACAAUCUAUAAAUUGGGUCUUGUAGAGGAAAUACCAGACAACAAUUACCAACAAUCAUAACGUUUAAACAACAUCAGAUCUGGGAGAAAUAAUCUAUCAAAGUAGCUUUCAAAGCUGUUCUUCACAAAGAACAGUUCGAAGUGCCAACUUUGGACCUCUAUAACUUGAUGAUCAUGCAACUUUUACGUGAUCUAUCAAUUCCAGUGUGUAGACAACAUGUAGGACUACAAUUCUAACACUUAACAUCAUCAUAAAAACAAGAAAUCAAGCAGAUAAAGAAUGGUCAAACCUUGUCAGAAAAAUCAACACUUGGGAAAUUCUGGGCUGCCCAGAAUUUUUCCGGUCAAUGCCGGUCAACCAAGUUUGACCUUAAAUAACUCUUAAUCUGUAAUAUAUAUGGACCUGAUUCUUUUUGGAGGUUAAAUACCACAUAACAAGCUACACAUAACAACCUUUAGAACACAAAACACAUUAAAGAUAACCGAGAUAUAAGGCCUGACAUUUUCCAAAAAAAUAUUUUCUGGACACUUAGAAUAUUUUCUGGGUUUGAAGAACAGCCGGUCAAUGCCGGUCAACCCACUUUGACCGCN
Molecule: long non-coding RNA, 717 nt
Filed under: Panax ginseng (ginseng)
Lineage: Eukaryota; Viridiplantae; Streptophyta; Magnoliopsida; Apiales; Araliaceae
Description: long non-coding RNA (PGIN_LNC004605)
Source: RNAcentral